Molecule: small nucleolar RNA, 77 nt
Organism: Hemibagrus wyckioides
Lineage: Eukaryota; Metazoa; Chordata; Actinopteri; Siluriformes; Bagridae
Product: small nucleolar RNA SNORD63
Exons: 1
Source: RefSeq, a predicted model, not a curated record
AUGCUGUGAUGUACUUAAUUCAACACAUCAUUCUUACUGUGAAGUGAAGAAAUUUUCCACUUAUAAUACUGAGCAUA